This 496-nucleotide ribosomal RNA is filed under the name uncultured bacterium. RNAcentral's name for it is "partial 16S ribosomal RNA". It matches the Rfam family "Bacterial small subunit ribosomal RNA", at positions 29 to 507 of the family's 1533-position model. The record is from RNAcentral.
AUGAACGCUGGCGGCGUGCCUAAUACAUGCAAGUCGAGCGAACAGACGAGGAGCUUGCUCCUCUGACGUUAGCGGCGGACGGGUGAGUAACACGUGGAUAACCUACCUAUAAGACUGGGAUAACUUCGGGAAACCGGAGCUAAUACCGGAUAAUAUAUUGAACCGCAUGGUUCAAUAGUGAAAGACGGUUUUGCUGUCACUUAUAGAUGGAUCCGCGCCGCAUUAGCUAGUUGGUAAGGUAACGGCUUACCAAGGCGACGAUGCGUAGCCGACCUGAGAGGGUGAUCGGCCACACUGGAACUGAGACACGGUCCAGACUCCUACGGGAGGCAGCAGUAGGGAAUCUUCCGCAAUGGGCGAAAGCCUGACGGAGCAACGCCGCGUGAGUGAUGAAGGUCUUCGGAUCGUAAAACUUUGUUAUUAGGGAAGAACAAAUGUGUAAGUAACUAUGCACGUCUUGACGGUACCUAAUCAGAAAGCCACGGCUAACUACGUG